GGUACCCUGGCCGAGUGGUUAGGCAACGGUCUGCAAAACCGUCUACAGCAGUCCGAAUCUGCUGGGUACCUCCA
RNAcentral lists this transfer RNA (74 nucleotides) under Bacteroidetes bacterium GWF2_40_14. RNAcentral's name for it is "tRNA-Cys". It matches the Rfam family "tRNA". From Rfam's summary of the family: Transfer RNA (tRNA) molecules are approximately 80 nucleotides in length. Their secondary structure includes four short double-helical elements and three loops (D, anti-codon, and T loops). The record is from RNAcentral. RNAcentral also lists the same sequence under 1 other name. Lineage: Bacteria; Pseudomonadati; Bacteroidota.